Long non-coding RNA from Dreissena polymorpha, 776 nucleotides. RefSeq lists it as uncharacterized. The record is from RefSeq and is a predicted model, not a curated record. Lineage: Eukaryota; Metazoa; Mollusca; Bivalvia; Myida; Dreissenidae. The transcript is spliced from 3 exons.
UUCAGGCAAAAUUACUGAUAUGGUUCAGCGUUUAGCUGUUCUCACACGAGGAUCUAGUGGUUAUGAAAUAACAGUUUGUGUUCAUCCUUCUUCGGACCUUAGUUGUCAGUACCGUGCGGUUACAACAGUUUAAACAACAGGAUGUUAUUGCCGAUGUUGUAUCAAUCUGCGCAAUAAUUCGAAAAACAAUGUAUAUGAAACCACCUUAUCCGCAAUAAGUUGGUUUCCAUACCAGGAUUAGGCUUACCAUAUCAAUAAAUCAGCGCAUUUUUGUUCGUCAAACUCGCGUAUAAAACGUCUUACUUGCAAGAUAUUUUUCACAGUUACGAUGGCGAUUGAAGGAGGUAAAUCGAGUGGAAAAACUAUGGUCUUCAUUUAUAUCAUCGUUUUGGCGGGCCUACUUAAUCAUGUGUUAAUGGACCCAUGUACAGACAGCUCCACACAGCAGUUGGGGUCGAUUCGUCAAAGACUUGUUGGUUAUCAACUAGCAAAGGGUGAAGACGCGAUUUGCGAUGCCUUUUUAGAAAAAGGCUGGUACUUUACCGAAACGUUCGUUUUGGCCUCAACAAAGGAACGUUGUGGAACACUUCGAAAUUGGUAUCGCAAAGAGAAGGACAGUUUACCAGUCAAGGUAAACGAUCGAAGAGAUGUCGUCUUAUGCAGAAACGGACGAAAGAAUGAAUGUGAUAAAACAACUCAAGUGUCAGUCAUAAAAUGUUCUAAGGACAAGUAUGUGGUUCAUCUCAGUCCGGUAACGAGCUGUAUCGAGGCGUAUU